GGUCAAGCGAGCGAAAGCAUGUGGGGGAUGCCUGGGCACACAGAGGCGAUGAAGGCCGCGGUAAGCUGCGAUAAGCUCGGGGGAGUGGCACACACGCGGUGAUCCCGAGAUGGCCGAAUGGGGCAACCCGGCGGACCGUGAGGUCCGUCAUCACCGGCAACGGUGAAGCGAACGCUGGGAACUGAAACAUCUCAGUACCGGCAGGAAGAGAAAUCAAACGAGAUGCCCGGAGUAGCGGCGAGCGAAAGGGGCGGAGCCUAAACCAGUCUCCUUGUGGGACUGGGGUUGUAGGACCCACGGACGGAGCCAGUUAACGAGUCGAAGUCCCCUGGAACGGGGCGCCGUAGACGGUGACAGCCCGGUAGACGAAGAGCGCUGGCCCAGUGGAGUUCCUGAGUAACGCCCGACUCGAGAAAUCGGGCGUGAAGCUGGGGGGACCACCCUCCAAGGCUAAAGACUCCUGUGUGACCGAUAGUGGACGAGUACCGUGAGGGACAGGUGAAAAGCACCCCUGGGCGGGGAGUGAAAGAGAUCCUGAAACCACAUGCUUACAAGCGGUAGGAGGCGGGCCAGGGGGCAACCUUUGGCACUGCUGACUGCGUGCCUUUUGCAUUAUGAUCCGGCGAGUUACUCCUCAGGAGCGAGGCUAAGCGGCUCAGCCGCGGAGUCGGAGCGAAAGCGAGUCCUGCAACGAGGGCGCUUGAGUUCCUGGGGGUAGACCCGAAACCAGGGCGAUCUACCCAUGAGCAGGGUGAAGCUGAGGUAACACUUAGUGGAGGCCCGAACCGGUGUGGGUUGAAAACCGCUCGGAUGACUUGUGGGUAGGGGUGAAAGGCCAAUCAAGCCUGGAGAUAGCUGGUUCUCCCCGAAAUCUAUUGAGGUAGAGCCUCGAGGCGUGUAAGCAGGGGGUAGAGCGACUGGAUGGGCGCGGGCUGGCGAAGCUGGUACCAACCCCAACCAAACUCCGAAUACCUGUUUUAUGGACCUCGGGAGGCAGUCGCUGAGCGAUAAUGUCCAGCGGCGAGAGGGAAAGAACCCAGAGCCACAGCUAAGGUCCCGGAGUGGCCGCUGAGUAUAGCGAAGGAUGUGUUUCUGCCGUGACAACUGGGAGGUUGGCUUAGAAGCAGCCAUUCCUUGAAAGAGUGCGUAAUAGCUCACCAGUCCAGCGGGAAUGCGCCGAGAAUGGUCGGGAUUAAGCGGCCCACCGAAGCUUGGCCUUCGAACGUAAGUUCGAGGGGUAGGGGAGCGUUCCGCGUGCAGUGAAGGGGAGGUGGAAACCAAUCCCUGGAGCGAGCGGAAGUGAGGAUGCCGGAAUGAGUACGCGCAAACGGGUGUGAAAACCACCCGCACCGUAAGCCCAAGGGUUCCUGCGCCAUGGCAAUCAGCGCAGGGUGAGGCGGGUCCUAAGGCGAGGCCCCAGAGGCGUAGCCGAUGGCAAGCCGGUUAAGAUUCCGGCCCCGCGUGGGAAGUGUUGAUCGAUUCAGGGACCGUGGAACGAAGCAGCAGCGGCGUGGUGGAUUGCCGUUCAACCGCGUAGGUGUGUGUAAACACGCCGAGACGGGAGUACGAGGCGGCGGGGCAACCCAAAGCCAAGUGUUGUGGAGUCGACACGCGAGAAAAGCUGAAUCGGGAGCGACUCAUGCGUCCGUACCGUAAACCGACACAGGUGGGCGAGGCGAGCAGCCUCAGGUGCACGAGUGAGACGUGGUCAAGGAACUCGGCAUAAUGAUCCCGUAACUUCGGAAGAAGGGAUGCCCUUGCUGGUGACCCGUACAGGGAAGCUGGUGGGGGCCGCAGAGAAUCGGCCCAAGCGACUGUUUAGCAAAAACACAGGUGCGUGCCAAGCCGCGUAAGGCGCCGUAUACGCACUGACUCCUGCCCGGUGCCGGAAGGUUAAGGGGAGAGGUUAGCCGCAAGGCGAAGCCUUGAGCCGAAGCCCCGGUAAACGGCGGCCGUAACUAUAACGGUCCUAAGGUAGCGAAAUUCCUUGUCGGGUAAGUUCCGACCUGCACGAAUGGAGUAACGACUUGGGCACUGUCUCGACCACGCGCUCGGCGAAAUUGCAGUCUCGGUGAGGAUUCCGAGUCCCCGCGACAGGACAAAAAGACCCCAUGCACCUUUACUGUAGCUUGCCAUUGGACGUUGUCUCUAACUGUGUAGCAUAGGUGGGACCCGAUGAGCCCUGGGCGCUAGUUCAGGGGGAGGGGCCAGUGAAAUACCACCCUGGUAGAUACGACGUCCUCACCAGCCUGCGCAAACCGCAGGUGGGACCGUGGCAGGUGGGCAGUUUGACUGGGGCGGUCGCCUCCGAAAGAGUAACGGAGGCGCGCGAAGGUUGGCUCAGCGCGGUCGGUACUCGCGCUUCUAGAGUGUAACGGCACAAGCCAGCCUGACGGGGGAGACCGACGGGUCGACCCGCCACGAAAGUGGGCCGUAGUGAUCCGGUAGCCCGGGGUGGAACGGCUAUCGCGCAACGGAUAAAAGGUACGCUGGGGAUAACAGGCUUAUCGCGCCCGAGAGUUCACAUCGACGGCGCGGUUUGGCACCUCGAUGUCGGCUUGUCACAUCCUGGGGCUGGAGAAGGUCCCAAGGGUCCGGCUGUUCGCCGGUUAAAGUGGCACAUGAGCUGGGUUCAGAACGUCGUGAGACAGUUCGGUCUGUAUCCGUCGUGGGCGUUGGAGUGUUGAGGAAUGCGGACUCUAGUACGAGAGGACCGAGUCGGACGAUCCGCUCGUGUCCCGGUUGUCCCGCCAGGGGCAACGCCGGGUAGCGAUGAUCGGUGGCGAUAACCGCUGAAAGCAUCUAAGUGGGAAACGCCGUCCAAGAUGAACACUCCCUGGGGCCUUGAGCCCCCUGAAGGGCCGGAGGAGACGACUCCGUCAAUAGGCCGCCCGUGGACAUGGAGCAAUCCAUUCCGAGCGCAGCGGUCCUAAUCGCCCGUGCGGCUUGACUCA
This 2954-nucleotide ribosomal RNA is filed under the name Gemmatimonadota bacterium. RNAcentral describes it as "Gemmatimonadetes bacterium (activated sludge metagenome) 23S ribosomal RNA". It matches the Rfam family "Bacterial large subunit ribosomal RNA". Lineage: Bacteria; Pseudomonadati; Gemmatimonadota. The record is from RNAcentral.